This 261-nucleotide transfer RNA is filed under the name Helianthus annuus (common sunflower). RNAcentral's name for it is "hypothetical non coding rna". The stretch from base 2 to 86 matches the Rfam family "tRNA". The record is from RNAcentral. Lineage: Eukaryota; Viridiplantae; Streptophyta; Magnoliopsida; Asterales; Asteraceae.
AGGGGUGGUGGCGCAGUUGGCUAGCGCGUAGGUCUCAUAGCUAAAGAGUGAUCCUGAGGUCGAGAGUUCGAGCCUCUCUCACCCCAUUCUUUUUUCAAAUGUCAUAUGUCACUGAAAAUAGAGAAAUUGUAUGUUGGGCUGCAAUAAUAUAAAAAAAGAAAUUAAAAAUAUAAGGGGUGGUGGCGCAGUUGGCUAGCGCGUAGGUCUCAUAGCUAAAGAGUGAUCCUGAGGUCGAGAGUUCGAGCCUCUCUCACCCCAUUC